UACGUAGGGCGCAAUGCGUUAUCCGGAAUUAUUGGGCGUAAAGAGCUCGUAGGCGGUUUGUCGCGUCUGCCGUGAAAGUCCGGGGCUCAACUCCGGAUCUGCGGUGGGUACGGGCAGACUAGAGUGAUGUAGGGGAGACUGGAAUUCCUGGUGUAGCGGUGAAAUGCGCAGAUAUCAGGAGGAACACCGGUGGCGAAGGCGGUUCUCUGGGCCUUACCUGACGCUGAGGAGCGAAAGCGUGGGGAGCGAACAGG
This 254-nucleotide ribosomal RNA is filed under the name uncultured bacterium. RNAcentral's name for it is "partial 16S ribosomal RNA". It matches the Rfam family "Bacterial small subunit ribosomal RNA", at positions 524 to 776 of the family's 1533-position model. The record is from RNAcentral.